RNAcentral lists this transfer RNA (77 nucleotides) under Candidatus Fermentithermobacillaceae bacterium. RNAcentral describes it as "tRNA-Pro". It matches the Rfam family "tRNA". From Rfam's summary of the family: Transfer RNA (tRNA) molecules are approximately 80 nucleotides in length. Their secondary structure includes four short double-helical elements and three loops (D, anti-codon, and T loops). The record is from RNAcentral. Lineage: Bacteria; Bacillati; Bacillota; Candidatus Fermentithermobacillia; Candidatus Fermentithermobacillales; Candidatus Fermentithermobacillaceae.
CGGGCUGUGGCGCAGUUUGGGAGCGCGCUUGAAUGGGGUUCAAGAGGCCGCAGGUUCAAAUCCUGUCAGCCCGACCA